RNAcentral lists this long non-coding RNA (9672 nucleotides) under Marmota monax (woodchuck). The record is from RNAcentral. Lineage: Eukaryota; Metazoa; Chordata; Mammalia; Rodentia; Sciuridae.
AAGUGGGUCGGAGCUGCAGGCUCGCUCUUUUCUGCCGCUCGGUGUCGGGAGAGGGAAGCCGGGCGAGCUGCUCGGCGCGGUUCGCCCGGGUCUCCGUGACUCCCGCAGAGUCCACUUAAGGUGGGUGACUCUGGUUUUCCGAAGUUCUGUAGUGUGGGGUUGUGCGCGCUGAACGGGUGACGCGCGGCGUGCGAGCCUGGGCCCGUAAAGCCUUCCAAAGAGGAGGGCGACGCCGCUGCACACCGAGGUGGAGCGCCGGGGCCCAGUGGAAGCGACUGAGCGAGCCUGCCUUCGACACGGGCCGCCCCGCCGCCUCUCCGCAGCGUCAGAACUUGCCGAAUGCCCCCCACCGCCACCGCGGAGGUUCGCUGAGCGCUCCUGGGUCGUCUGGUGGGCGUAAGCCGGGCUGUCACGGGUUCUUUUAUUCCCAUCCUCUAGGCACACCCACUUCACACAGUGACAUAUAAAUGGGCCACAGAAAGAAAGCAGCCGCAAGGUUACAGAAUACUGAGCCAAGAGCACUGAGAGAUGAAUGCAAAGAGUCACUGGAACUGGAUUUUAACGACCAGUUCCAGUCGGCAGAGCUGUCAAAGCAGAGGGUCCAGAUAGGCGGCAGUUUCACGGUGUACGGUGUCAGCUCUAGGUGUGGGAGUGGGCCACGCGUUGUCAUCACAGGCAGGGGAAGCUGCACUCUGCUGAAACCCAAUGGGGACAGGAAAUGGGAGGUUCCUCACUGUGGCAAUUUUCCUGGGCCUGAACCUGUGAUCCUCCUGCCUUAGCCUCUCAAAUUGCUGGGAUUACAGGUGUGCACCAGCAUACUUGGCUAGACUCUUUGUUUUAUUUUUAGACAGGUUCUCAUUAAGUUGCCCAGGCUGGCCUUUAACUUGUGAUCUUCCUGCCUCAGCCUCCUGAAUAGCUAGGAUUACAGGUGUGUGCCACCAUACCUGUUAGUGAGUUUUAAAUAAAAAAAGGCUUUCAAUUUCAAUAAUAAUAAUAAAAACAAAACAGGAAAGCCAUACAGUGGAAGAAAUAUUCAGAGCACCGUGCCAAAGGCCUGAUACCCAGAAUAUAUAAAGAACUUUUGCAAAUCAAUAUUAAAAAGAUUUUACUAGAAUUACACACACACACACACACACACACACGCAAUAACUACAUGAAGGAUUAUUGCCACUACUGGUAGUGUGGUAGUACAGAUUAAAACCACAAUGAGAUAUCAUUUCACCCAUUCAGCAGAGCUGAAAUAGAACUGACUACACAUAUUUGGGAAAGUUUGUACAGUAAUUGCAUCAGCUAUCUACUGUUUGUGGACGUGUAAACUAGACAACUAAUUUGAAAAAUUGCUUAGCAGUUUCUUUUAAUUUAAGCAUACAGGUUAGGGGAUGCACUCCAGUGGCAGAGCACUUGCUUAGCAUGCCCAAGGCCCUGGACUCAUCCCCAGUACUGCAAAAACAACAGAAAAGUUUAAAGAUACAGAUACUCUAGGACCUAGAAAUUGCAAUCCUAGGUAUUUUUUUUCUUUCUUUUUUUUUUUAAUAUUGAAUUGCACAGAAAAUGACUUAAUUUUUUUUUUUUUAGUUGUUAGUGGACCUUUAGUUUAUUUAUUUAUACAUGCUGCUGAGAAUCGAACCAAGUGCCUCACACAUGCCAGGCAAGUGCGCUACCACUGAGCCACAGCUCCAGUCCCCAAUCCUAGGUAUUUCUCUAUGAGAAACAAAAAGUUAUAAACAAAAAGAUUUUAUAAAAUAUAUGAAUAUUUCUAGGGCUGCUAUAGCAGUGUUGGUGGCACAACAGAGAUGGAUUUAAUGGUUCCAGGGCUAGAAGUCUGAGAUUAAAGUGUUGGCAGGGAUGUGUUCUCUCUGAAGCCUACAGGACUGUUCCCUGACUCUUCCCGCCUCUGGAAGACCCCUGGCCUUACUUCAAUCUGCUCCUUCUCCAUGUGGUACUUUCUCCUUUGAGUCUGUGUCCAAAUUUUCCUUUUCUUGUAUGCAUACAUGCCAUGAGCAAGCUGUGCCACCAACAGAAACCAAAACCAUUUGCAUUUUUCCAUAAUGUCAGAAUUUGUUGAAUAACAAUGAAUUCACAAGCUACACCACUUUCAGUGGUGGCAAUUCAACAAUACUUGAGGGUCACCUGAUAGUCAUAACCCAGGCAAACUCAAGUUCUUUUAUUCCAUUCUAAUCUAAUUUAUUUUUUUUUAAUAUUUUUUUUUUAGUUAUAGAGGGACAUGAUACAUUUUAAUCUGUUUAUUUAUUUGUGUGGUGCUGAGGUUGAACUCAGUGACUCACACAUGCUAGGCAAGCAGUCUAUCACUGACCCACAGUCACAGCCCUCCCUUUAUUUCAUUUUUAUGUGGUGCUAAGGAUCGAACCCAGUGCCUCACUCGUGCUAGGUGAGCCCUGAACCACUGAGCUACAACCCCAGCCCCCCCCAGUCUAAUUUCUAAUAACACUCAAAUCACACAUUAUAUUUCACACAAUUAUAACACACGCACACACAUUUUUAAAUAUGUCACAGACUAAAUCUGUGUUGCAGUAAUUCACUUGCAGGUCAGCAUGGGAAAAGAAAGAAGAAGCAGAGCAAGCAAAGCAGCAGCAGAAAAAAAGCCCUUUAUUGUGUACAGCAAUCUUGUUAUAGUAUUGUGAACAAAGAAGGCAGCCUUCCAACAUCAAUAAAUCAGGUCUUUCAGCUAAUUAAACAUAGCAUACAGAAGUUUUACUUUCUAAUCAGAAGUGACCCGCUUCUCAUGGCUAAUCUAUUCUCGGCCCUGAGUAUGUUGAGCUCUGCUCUUUGUUAAGAACAGAUAAUAAAAUUUUUCUUAGCGCCCUCCUAGCCCACUUGGCAGAACAUCCCGUUUGCAGGCAAGUCCUCCCAAGGACAGUAGACACCUUGUUUUCAAGCAUGUCUGCAGUUACCUUAUCUAAACCUUGAAGGAGCCUCUCGUUUGCAAGUAGGCCCUCCCAAGGACAGCAGACACCUCGUUUUCAAGCAUGUCCGCUGUUACCUAUCUAUACCUUGACAGAAUAUCCUGUUUGUAGGCAAACUCCAUCAAGGACAGGAAUAGUAACGCAGUCACAUCUGAUUCUCUGUAUUUCCCUCCUUUUGUUUUUGUAAAAGAGCCAUAGCAGAAGGAAAAGAGAGGUUUCAUGUUUCAGUUGCCUUCGCUUUUUCCAGCGUUGGAAGACUAUAUACAAAACAAAACACAAAACAAAAAUUAUUACAGUGUUACCUAAAGAAGUUGACAACAAGGUAGAGAAAUGACUUAAGGGAUAUAAAUUAGCAAUACUUGAAGACAAUUUUUGUAAAAUGUUAGAUCCUGUUAGUUCAGGUAAUGUCUUACUAAAGGUGUCCAUAAUAGUUUUUUCCAAAUUCAUAAUUUCUAAAGUUAAAUUUGAUGUCCAUUUAACCGUCUUUUAACAGUUUCCCAGGAAUCACUGGUAUUAUAUGGCACAGGAGUCACACAAAUAUGAGAAGAAUUCCAGUCACACUUCGGAACACUUCUGGUAGCCAAUAUAGUCACUUGAUCGCCAAGCCAGGAAACAGUAUGUUGUAAAUUGAUCACAUCUGUAGCCAAUUGAGAGUUUAAGUCCUUUUGUUGUUGCCAUAAUAAAUGAGCAUCUUGAUGCCAUGUUCUCACGAAAUUCGCAGUUUGAAUGUCUUGAUGUGAAGCAACUCCAGCUACUGUAGCAGUGGCAGUUACAGAAGCAACUGCAAGGAAUGAAGCUAUAACUAUUUCUAUUAAUCGUAGAGAGCGAUGUAACAAAACUUGAACAGCAUUGUACAAAUGAGUAACAGACAAUGAAUCAGAGCAAGGAUGAGUCAAAUUAACAGGCACCCACAAUUCUGUGCGAGCUUUAACAAUAACUAAAGAAUAAUUAUUAAUUUCUAUUAAUUCCCAAUUAGUUCUAUUUACACAUUGAGUAAGAUAACGGUCUAUACAUGAUAUAGUUCCCCAAGUUACAUUCCAUUCCCAGUUUCCAAUCAUAAGAGAAUAAGGGAAUUUAACACAUGCAGAAGCAAAAUAAGUCAGAUUAUUAUGUAGAUGUACUUCAAAAGGAGAGGAACGGGAUACGUCUAACGUGAAAUUUCCAGUCCAUACAGUGAGUUUCCCAGAUACUGCCCAUAAUUUCCAUAUAUCCCCUUGAAUAUUGGAAAACCUUAUAUGCUGUAACAUUGGAGGGACCAAAGCAUAAUGUUGCAUUUUAAUUGUCUCAUUACCCCAAGCAUUUAUUGUCCCAUUAUGUCAAUGCCAUCUUAAAGUACGAUUUGAUCAACUUUGUAUAAAUUCAGAAUGAUCAGGACUCCACCCAACUAUAGUGAUAUUUUGAUAUUUGACUACUGUUUUAGGGUGAUGAUUGUGACAUUUUUCCCACUUUAAAUGAGUUAAAAAUGUUUUAAAAUAUUUAGCUGAACAUAAAGGAAGAUGAGUUCUGACAAAGCAUUCUUCAGAUGAUAGCCAUGAUUGAUUAACAUACAUACUAGAGGUAUUAAAUCCUCGGGAAGAUAUCAUGACAGUAAAAACAGCAGUAGGAUAACUAUGAUAAUUAACUCCCCAACUAUUAUAAGAAAGAGAGUUGUUAUGUGCUAUAAGAGGCAAACAGAAAGAAUGAGCCCCUAUACACAAUGGGACUCCUUCAACAGCUACAGUUACAUUAGAAAUAUUAUACAGAUUUUUAUGGAAUGGAAUAUUUUUAAUUCCCCCACAUGCAGGAGGGGGGAAAAUUAGUAUUAUUAGUACACACACGAACUUUAGGUUCUCCCCAGGAAGCAUUGUGCACCAAAGGAGGGUUAGGAACAUAGGCCCAAAAAGCAGAAGAAUGAGCAGAAACUAUACUUACCUGGCAAUUAAUAACUGCAAGCAUAGCUAAUAAAAUAUUAACAGGAUUUAAAGGCUGAUUUGUCUUUUGAAGGGUUUUUUCAGCUUCUUGAGUCAACUUUUUUAUCUGUCCCCAUGUUGGGGGGUCUGCUGUUUUCGUUGCCAUUGUAGAAGUUUUUUGCAUAGUCAGCUCCUGAAAUUGUCUGACAAAUGGGUCACUCAUUCUGCAAGUUGAUAAGUCUUGAAGGUACUUAGAAAGGUGUUUUACCUGUAGAAAUAAGAGCAAAUCCCCCCCCCCCAUGUGGUGCAACAACCUAGAAAUCCAUUCUUUAUUUUCAUCCCUGUUCCACAUAGGUAUUUCCAAUUUUUAGAAAUAAUGGCUGAGAUUUAAAUGUAGAGAAAUGUUGCUGGGCUGCAGGAACCUUGGAAGUUGACCAGACAUAUAAAAAAUUUAAAGUUAGUAAAGUUUUAUGAAGUAUAUUUUGAGGUGUAUAAGCCAUAGCCAUAUUCCCCCCUUUUUAUUUUUAGUAUAUAUUUUCUUAACGUAUGAUGUGUCUUUUUUAUAAUAGCUUGACCCUGACUAUUAUAAGGUAUGCCAAAUGUAUGUGUAAUGUCAUAUUUUUGUAAAAAUGAAUGUGAUUUUUGUGAGGUAUAUGUAGGUGCAUUGUUAGUUUUAAGUUCUUAAGGAAUUCCCAUGAGAGCAAAAACAAGAUAAUAAAUGAGAAAUGAUUGCAUUAGCUUUUUUUUUUUUUAAGAUAAACUGUGGCCCAUAGAAAAUGAGUAUGAGUGUCAAUAGUAUGAUGUACAUAUCUUAGUUGUCCAAAUGACUGAAUUAUAACAACAUCAAUUUGUUAAAGAGCAAUAGAAUGGAGUCCCCUUGGAUUAACACCAGGAGGACAAUAAGGAAUAUUAAAAGGAGCACAUGAUGAACAGUUAGCUAUAAUUUCACAUGUUUGUUUUUGAGUUAUUUUGUAUUUUUUAUAAAGUCCUUUAGUGUUUGUAUGAUGUAAAGCAUGUUCUAGAUGAGCCUUUUGUAAGGGGAAUAAUAGUUGAUCAAUAUUUUGAUUUUUUUUUUUUUUUUUUAGUUAAUGGUCCUGGCAGUGUAGAAUGUGCUCUGAUAUGAGUAAAAUAUACAGAGAUUUGGCCUACUAUUUUUGUUGUUAUUUUUACAUGUAGUCAGAUAGGACAUAGAGUCUUAUCUUAGGUAAGUAGGGCUCUUUAUAAAUUUUAAGUAAAGUGUUGUAGUUUUAAAGUUUAUUUUUGUUUUUAUUAAAUAUUAGAUUAAAAAUUUUAUAUAAAUAAUUGUUUAAGUUUAUUUGAGUAAAAACUAACACAAUAUGAUAAUACAUCUAAAACAUGUAAUAAAGAAAGGCUGAAAGCUUUUAGCUUUUUGUAGAAAAAUAGAAAAAUGUCUUUGUUUUUUAUAAUAUUAACCUUUAUGUAGAUUAGGCUCUCAUUAACUAAAAAAUACAUUUAAAUUGUACCUCAGUGUAAAAAAUAACACAAAACUUUAUAUAUCUUAUUGAUAAUAGGCCCAGUUAUAGAAAUUAAAUGAUAUAAAUAAAUUUCUAAUAUGUCAUUUUUAUAAGCCUAAAAUUACCAUGUAACCUUUUGGAGAAUACCAGCUUGAUAUAAUUUUUUUAAAGUUUCUAUCUUAAUGACAUAUACCUGGAAAAUAUGAACAAAUUUAAUAUACAAAGAAGAGUAAUAGUACCAUAAUUACUAUUGAUGUUUUUAUAUUAAUUAAGUUUAGCUCUAAAAGAAAUAACAUAUUAGAAUAUUGCAAAAUAAUAGUUGUUGUUUAACCAUAGUUGUAUAAUCUUUAAUUUCUUCAAGAUUAUUUGCUUAAAAAACUUACAUAUAUAGCCAACAUACAUAGACCUUCUUUAUCACUUGCUUAAACCUAUAUAGCCAACAUACAUAGACCUUCUUUAUCAUUUGCUUAAACCCUUUUAUUUACUCACUUCUAGGAACACAUUUUUUUUUUAUUAAAUCCAUAACUAGAACCUUCUAAUUUUUUUUAACCUCUUCUUUAUUCACACCUUGAAAUAAUCCUUGUAAAUUUUUGAAUUUAAGUAAAUUAUUCCAUUUUAAUAAGAGAUAUUUUGUUAUUUGUAGUACACAAUUAAUCACAUUUGUUUACCAUACUAUGAAAAUAUAGUGUCUAAAUAUUAGGGAUGAUAAAGUAACCAUUUAUUUAUUUAUUUUUAUUAUUUAUCAACUUAAAAAAUUAUUAAUGUUAUGUAAUUUAAGGAGUUAAAAGUAUUUAAUGGUAUAUUUAACAUUUAGCAUAUUAUCCUUGUAAAUUAACCCGAUAUUUAACAAAAGUACUCAUAAACAAGUAAUCUUAUGUCUAAUUAAUUUACUUAUUUUAUCAAAACAUUAGACAAGUAUAAUGAACAGUCUUAGCCAUUUGUUGUUGUUGUUGUUGAAGAAAAGUCCUAGAAUCAGAGCAUAUCAGUCAUUAACAUGUUAAAGACAUCUUAUUUUUAUUUGUUUACCCAAUUUAAAUUGAACCAUUUAAAUCAGUGAAUUACAAAUAUUUGAAUCUAUUUUUUUUUUAAUUUUUUAUGAGCGCUCUUUACAUAUAUAUCAAUCUUUAUAUCAUGUACAUGAUAUAUGGACAUACGCACAAACAGACAUACAACACAUAAUACAAAUGUGUACACAUAACACAAUAAAGGCCUUGUAGCUAUUUUAGGUGAAAUUUCCAUUGUAAUGUUUAAAUAUUUCACAGUUGAUCAAAAAUAGAACUGAUCAGAAAAACAUUAACUUAGGUCUGUAGGAUCAAAAUUAUGAGCUCAAAAAAUACAGAAUCUAGGAAAAAGCAAGAGUCCUAGAAAAAAUGAUCAGCCGGUAAUUAGAAAGUAUCAUAAAAUUUAUUUAUCUAUUUAUUUUAUUUAUUUAUUUAUCAUUAUUAUUUUUUUACAAUCCCUUUUAAAAUGACCUGCUUUUCCACAAUUGAAACAAGUUCCUGAUUUAUUGGGUUUAAGGGCUCCAGCCAUGGCUGUAGCAAAAACAGAAGCUUGAUGUUCAAUUCUUCCCACUCCAGCAUAAGCUCUCACAUAUUCACUCAAUGAGGCGUUUUGCCCUUUUAAUGGCCCCAAAAUACGCUUACAUUCAGGAUUAGCAUUUUCAAAUGCCAAUGUUUCCAAUAAUACCUUUGCUAUUUGAUCUUGAUUUAUUGCCCUCAUUACAGCAGUACGCAGUCUGGCAAGAAAAUCAGUAUAAGGUUCAGUAGCCCCUUGUACAGUUUUAGUAAAGGAAGGUUGUGCUUGACCAAUGGGUAUCACAUGUCUCCAAGCUCUUAAGAAAACCUGUCGAACUUGUUGAAGAUCUGGAUCUGUAUAUUGAGCCUGCUCUCUAUAGGCACGGUAAUUACCCUCCCCCAUUAACUUAUCCUCCAUAGGUCCCGGGGGAUUUUGAGCCUCAUUCUCUCUAGCUUGUUUUUGUGCCUCAUCUUCCUAUCAACUUCUCAAUUGUAGCCACUGAGAUCCCUCCAAAACUGUUUUGGCUAAUGCCUCCCAAUCCAAAGGAAUAAGUAGUUUAGAAGUUCCUAAAUUUUCUAACAUACCUAACACAAAAGGAGACUGAGGGCCAUAUUGAGAGACUGCAGCUUUUAAAUCCUUAAUAAACUUGUAUUCCACUGCAGUAUAGUGAACAUCAAUCAUUUGGGGAUUUUGAAGGUUUUGUUGUCUAGUUAUAGGAAACAAAAGUGGUGGAUCAACAAUUCCACCAGGGGGAUCUGCAAGAUCAUCAUCAUCAUGUAUCAUAGUAAGAGGAAAUGAAAAACGUUGUUGUUCUCUACCCACAUCAACUCUAUACCUUGUCACUGGAAAGAGAGAAGCAUUAGAAGAAGUAGUAGGUUUAAGAGAAGACCUUUGCUUUUUUAAUUUCAUUUUUUCUACAAAGGCUUCCAUAAUUUCUUUCAUACUGGAGUCACUAUCUGAACUUUCUGAAUCUUCCUCAUCACCCAGAUCUGAUUUAGGAGAGUCAUCUAUAGUAUCACAAAUAUCUUUCUUGGGCUCCGAUUUGUUAACCUUAUUAUCAGAUUCUGAUGUAUUAACUUGACUUUCACAAAGAGAGCCCUUAUCAUUAUUGCUUUCUAAUAAUUGUAAUGCCUGAGUAAUAGCAUUACACAAUGUCCAAAUCUUUAAAGAAAUAACAUUUCCAGCCUGAUGCUGCUUACGGAGCUCUUUCUGAACCAAUUUCCAUUCCCCUAAAUUUAACUGGACCUUAGUUUGAUACUGGAACCAGUGACAAUGACAUUCUAUAAUUUUAAAUAACUCCUUGAGUCUUUUAUGAGAUGUUUUCACACCUAUGGAAUAUAAUAAUCCUUGUAGUAACUCCACAUAUUGUUCCUUUAAGGACUGGGAGUUUCCCAUGUUAGUUCUGAAAGUCCCCCUAAAGUUUCUUUCAACCUGGGGCUAUACCUUUCGAUAUUUGUUAGUUUUGAAAGUCCCCCUAAAGUUUCUUUCAACCUGGGGCGAUACCUUUCGAUAUUUGUUAGUUCUGAAAGUCCCCCUAAAGUUUCUUUCAACCUGGGGCGAUACCUUUUGAUAUUUUGUUAAUCCCGAAAGUCCCCCUUUCGUUUUCUUAACCUGGGGUGCUUACCCUUUCGGUGCUGGAUCCUGCCGACUACGCCAAAUGUUGCAGUAAUUCACUUGCAGGUCAGCAUGGGAAAAGAAAGAAAGAAGCAGAGCAAGCAAAGCAGCAGCAGAAAAAAAGUCCUUUAUUGUGUACAGCAAUCUUUUUAUAGUAUUGUGAACAAAGAAGGCAGCCUUCCAACAUCAAUAAAUCAGGUCUUUCAGCUAAUUAAACAUAGCAUACAGAAGUUUUACUUUCUAAUCAGAAGUGAC